This 74-nucleotide transfer RNA is filed under the name Bacillota bacterium. RNAcentral describes it as "tRNA-Val". It matches the Rfam family "tRNA". Rfam says of the family: Transfer RNA (tRNA) molecules are approximately 80 nucleotides in length. Their secondary structure includes four short double-helical elements and three loops (D, anti-codon, and T loops). Lineage: Bacteria; Bacillati; Bacillota. RNAcentral also lists the same sequence under 2 other names. The record is from RNAcentral.
GGGGUUGUAGCUCAGUUGGUUAGAGCGUCACGUUGACAUCGUGAAGGUCAUAGGUUCGAGCCCUACCAACCCCA